This 606-nucleotide ribosomal RNA is filed under the name Prevotella sp. oral taxon 298. Its description in RNAcentral is "bacterial SSU rRNA". It matches the Rfam family "Bacterial small subunit ribosomal RNA", at positions 385 to 991 of the family's 1533-position model. The record is from RNAcentral. Lineage: Bacteria; Pseudomonadati; Bacteroidota; Bacteroidia; Bacteroidales; Prevotellaceae.
GAACCAGCCAAGUAGCGUGCAGGAUGACGGCCCUAUGGGUUGUAAACUGCUUUUGUAUGGGGAUAAAGUCAAUCACGUGUGAUUGUUUGCAGGUACCAUACGAAUAAGGACCGGCUAAUUCCGUGCCAGCAGCCGCGGUAAUACGGAAGGUCCGGGCGUUAUCCGGAUUUAUUGGGUUUAAAGGGAGCGUAGGCUGGAGAUUAAGUGUGUUGUGAAAUGUAGACGCUCAACGUCUGACUUGCAGCGCAUACUGGUUUCCUUGAGUACGCACAACGUUGGCGGAAUUCGUCGUGUAGCGGUGAAAUGCUUAGAUAUGACGAAGAACUCCGAUUGCGAAGGCAGCUGACGGGAGCGUAACUGACGCUGAAGCUCGAAGGUGCGGGUAUCGAACAGGAUUAGAUACCCUGGUAGUCCGCACAGUAAACGAUGGAUGCCCGCUGUUGGUACCUGGUAUCAGCGGCUAAGCGAAAGCAUUAAGCAUCCCACCUGGGGAGUACGCCGGCAACGGUGAAACUCAAAGGAAUUGACGGGGGCCCGCACAAGCGGAGGAACAUGUGGUUUAAUUCGAUGAUACGCGAGGAACCUUAACCCGGGCUUGAAUUGCAG